Molecule: ribosomal RNA, 221 nt
Filed under: uncultured archaeon
Lineage: Archaea
Description: partial 16S ribosomal RNA
Rfam family: Archaeal small subunit ribosomal RNA
Source: RNAcentral
AGAGGUUACUGCUAUCGGUGUUCGCCUAAGCCAUGCGAGUCAUAUGUUCUUCGUGAACAUGGCGUACUGCUCAGUAACACGUGGAUAACCUGCCCUUGGGUCCGGCAUAACCCCGGGAACUGGGGACAAUUCCGGAUACCGCAUAUGUGCUGGAAUGCUUUAUGCGUGAAAUGGAUUCGUCUGCCCAAGGAUGGGUCUGCGGCCUAUCAGGUAGUAGUGGG